UGGCUUACCAAGCCUAUGAUCUGUACGGGUUGUGAGAGCAAGAGCCCGGAGAUGGAACGUGAGACAAGGUUCCAGGCCCUACGGAGCGCAGCAGGCGCGAAACCUCCGCAAUGUGAGAAAUCGCGACGGGGGGAUCCCAAGUGCCAUUCUUAACGGGAUGGCUUUUCUUAAGUGUAAAAAGCUUUUGGAAUAAGAGCUGGGCAAGACCGGUGCCAGCCGCCGCGGUAACACCGGCAGCUCUAGUGGUAGCUGUUUUUAUUGGGCCUAAAGCGUUCGUAGCCGGUUUGAUAAGUCACUGGUGAAAUCCUGUAGCUUAACUGUGGGAAUUGCUGGUGAUACUGUUGAACUUGAGGUCGGGAGAGGUUAGCGGUACUCCCAGGGUAGAGGUGAAAUUCUGUAAUCCUGGGAGGACCACCUGUGGCGAAGGCGGCUAACUGGAACGAACCUGACGGUGAGGGACGAAAGCUAGGGGCGCGAACCGGAUUAGAUACCCGGGUAGUCCUAGCCGUAAACGAUGCGGACUUGGUGUUGGGAUGGCUUUGAGCCGCUCCGGUGCCGAAGGGAAGCUGUUAAGUCCGCCGCCUGGGAAGUACGGUCGCAAGACUGAAACUUAA
This 614-nucleotide ribosomal RNA is filed under the name uncultured archaeon. RNAcentral's name for it is "bacterial SSU rRNA". It matches the Rfam family "Archaeal small subunit ribosomal RNA", at positions 245 to 859 of the family's 1478-position model. The record is from RNAcentral.